GCUUGCUGCUUUGCUGACGAGUGGCGGACGGGUGAGUAAUGUCUGGGAAACUGCCUGAUGGAGGGGGAUAACUACUGGAAACGGUGGCUAAUACCGCAUAACGUCGCAAGACCAAAGAGGGGGACCUUCGGGCCUCUUGCCAUCAGAUGUGCCCAGAUGGGAUUAGCUUGUUGGUGAGGUAACGGCUCACCAAGGCGACGAUCCCUAGCUGGUCUGAGAGGAUGACCAGCCACACUGGAACUGAGACACGGUCCAGACUCCUACGGGAGGCAGCAGUGGGGAAUAUUGCACAAUGGGCGCAAGCCUGAUGCAGCCAUGCCGCGUGUAUGAAGAAGGCCUUCGGGUUGUAAAGUACUUUCAGCGGGGAGGAAGGUGUUGCGGUUAAUAACCGCAGCAAUUGACGUUACCCGCAGAAGAAGCACCGGCUAACUCCGUGCCAGCAGCCGCGGUAAUACGGAGGGUGCAAGCGUUAAUCGGAAUUACUGGGCGUAAAGCGCACGCAGGCGGUCUGUCAAGUCGGAUGUGAAAUCCCCGGGCUCAACCUGGGAACUGCAUUCGAAACUGGCAGGCUUGAGUCUUGUAGAGGGGGGUAGAAUUCCAGGUGUAGCGGUGAAAUGCGUAGAGAUCUGGAGGAAUACCGGUGGCGAAGGCGGCCCCCUGGACAAAGACUGACGCUCAGGUGCGAAAGCGUGGGGAGCAAACAGGAUUAGAUACCCUGGUAGUCCACGCCGUAAACGAUGUCUACUUGGAGGUUGUGCCCUUGAGGCGUGGCUUCCGGAGCUAACGCGUUAAGUAGACCGCCUGGGGAGUACGGCCGCAAGGUUAAAACUCAAAUGAAUUGACGGGGGCCCGCACAAGCGGUGGAGCAUGUGGUUUAAUUCGAUGCAACGCGAAGAACCUUACCUGGUCUUGACAUCCACAGAAAG
This 926-nucleotide ribosomal RNA is filed under the name Salmonella enterica subsp. enterica serovar Typhimurium. RNAcentral's name for it is "bacterial SSU rRNA". It matches the Rfam family "Bacterial small subunit ribosomal RNA", at positions 78 to 997 of the family's 1533-position model. The record is from RNAcentral. Lineage: Bacteria; Pseudomonadati; Pseudomonadota; Gammaproteobacteria; Enterobacterales; Enterobacteriaceae.